RNAcentral lists this long non-coding RNA (761 nucleotides) under Zostera marina. Its description in RNAcentral is "long non-coding RNA (ZMAR_LNC001786)". Lineage: Eukaryota; Viridiplantae; Streptophyta; Magnoliopsida; Alismatales; Zosteraceae. The record is from RNAcentral.
AUGAUACACCUUUUAUAUAAGGAUAAUUGCAAACAAGUACUAAAUUGGAAUAAAACUAAAAACUCAGUAACUAAAUAAGUUUUAUCUAAAUUUAGGAAGUUCGGGGGCAUUCAACAACCUUUACUGGGCGUAAUCGGUCACCCAGAAAGAGGGCUUCCUUAUUCGGGUUGCUCGUCCAUCGGAUCGGGCCCUAAUCGCGUCGACCAACCCUAAUUCCUCGCCGACCGCUUCUUCCGUUUCGAACGCCGGAGUUUGCAUCUUCUCUGGUGGCUCGUCUCCUUCUGCGAUGUUCUCGUCGAGAGCUUCUGCGGCUACUCCUACUGCAGCGACGAUCCGGUCUGCAUCAUGGCUAUCUCCCCAAAGACUCACCUUGUCCACAAGGUGGAUGGACGGAAACGUCUUCAGCAGCUCUUCAUCGUUCUCUCAAGAGGAGUCUUCCAUCAAUGAGUUGCUCCAGAGCACUAAGGAUUGAGGUAUCUUGGUUUUCUUUCUAUCAAUUACUCUGCGAUCCAAUAUAGAAAUAUGAUAUAGAAUUGGUUGGCCUUUUACAGAUAGAAUCGAAAAUGUAUCUACCGAUGUUGGGGCUGGUCCCAGGAAUUUUUUUAAUUUUGAAAUGUGAAAGUUGUUAUGGAUUCUGCUUCCUUCAGACAACUCUGAUUUGUAUGCCACUUUGCUGAAUUUUUCUAUGAUCUUGUAAGGUCCAAAAAAUUUUAAACACAGCUUAUUGUGAAAUCUUGAGGCAACUGAUAAUUGCCUGUAAG